Molecule: long non-coding RNA, 366 nt
Filed under: Bos taurus (domestic cattle)
Lineage: Eukaryota; Metazoa; Chordata; Mammalia; Artiodactyla; Bovidae
Description: long non-coding RNA NONBTAT022515
Source: RNAcentral
CACUAAUAAGAGAAAAUCUCAGAUAUCAUAUUUAUUAUAAUCAUUAGGAUAGGCAACCACAGCAAAACUUGAAAUGCUUUCUUUGGUUUUUCUAAUUCCAUCAAAGAACAUGUAUUUUCUACCUGAAUAUAUAAAGAAUUACAUUAAUACACAGAAACAAAUAAAAGGCCAUGAUAGAUUAACAGAGGUACCUAUUCCAAAAUUUCAGAAAAGAAAUAAUGUUUUUGCACCAAAACCUUAUAGUUAUGAAGGGGCACUGGGCUAGGAAUUAGAGAAUUCUUUUCUCUUUAUUCUUGGCAUUUCUGAAAUCCCUGUAUUAUUCUGGGACGAGGACUCUCCCUUUCUUUGAGCUCAUUGUCUUCAUGG